AUACCUUUCUCGGCCUUUUCUUAUAGUAAGAUCAAGUGUAGUAUCUGUUCUUAUAAGUUUAAUAUCUGAUAUGUGGGCCAUGUGUCCACUUUGAUAUUAAAUUUAUUUUUUGUGAUGAAGGGCUCAUCACAAUGGCUUGCCAUUGAAGCCCUUGAGUGUCGCCUAUACGUUGCACUGCUGUUUGGGCCUGGCACACCCCAG
This 201-nucleotide small nuclear RNA is filed under the name Leersia perrieri. Its description in RNAcentral is "snRNA U2". It matches the Rfam family "U2 spliceosomal RNA". From Rfam's summary of the family: U2 is a small nuclear RNA (snRNA) component of the spliceosome (involved in pre-mRNA splicing). The record is from Rfam by way of RNAcentral. Lineage: Eukaryota; Viridiplantae; Streptophyta; Magnoliopsida; Poales; Poaceae.